Molecule: long non-coding RNA, 469 nt
Filed under: Pan troglodytes (chimpanzee)
Lineage: Eukaryota; Metazoa; Chordata; Mammalia; Primates; Hominidae
Description: long non-coding RNA NONPTRT004890
Source: RNAcentral
GGGGGCGGACACCUUUAAAAAAAAAUCAAAGAGUGCCCCAAAUAUAACGCUAAAAAGAAAAAAUGCAAUUUUCAGAUGAGAAAUUGGAGGUCCCAAAAGGUAAAGUGACUUGUUCAAAAAUCACAUGGCUGGUGAGCAGAGCAGCUGGAAUCCCAUCCUGUCUCCGCUUUCAACAAGCCCUGUUUUUUGAGUACAUCACCAGUCAUGGAAUGGCCCACAGUUUGUGUUUCUCAGACCCCCUUCUCAGUUCUGAAUUUAAGCAGGAGGGGAACAGGAUCUGCUUUCUAUUUUGAAAAAAGUAGUUUUCAGAAAAGCAAGAUUGGAAGCUGAGAAACAAGAUAUCCUGGGACUAGAAGAGACAUUAAAGAUCCUUUAGGCCAGCCGGGCCCCAUGGCUCACAUUUAUACCACUAGACUUAGUUUUCCUGAAUGUAAACUUCAACCCCUGAUUAUAAGGACUCUGUAAGGCU